AAAGUGACAAAAUAGUAAUAUUUUCAAGAAACAACUUUUUAAAUUCUAAUUUUAGAAGUCAAGUUAUGAUCUGAGAGAUAACUUAAAAAUGGAAAGUUAUUUAGGAACAAAAUAAAAGGCAAAAAACCAAACCUCAUACAAACUUAAAUGUUUGACAUUUAAAACUAAAGAGAUUUUUUUUUACGUGGAUUUGAAAUAAAUAAGCCAACCUCGGUACAUAACCGCUGAAAACUAAAAAACCGUACCCUAAACCAACACAGGUAGAUAGGUCGAGUAGACCAAGGUGUAUGAGAUAAUUAUGUUGAAGGAACUCGGCAAAAUGACUCUGUAACUUCGGGAGAAAGAGUACCUUUUUAUUUAAGUAUUUAUCGAUGAAUUAAUAAGAAG
Molecule: ribosomal RNA, 387 nt
Filed under: Aphanomyces frigidophilus
Lineage: Eukaryota; Oomycota; Saprolegniomycetes; Saprolegniales; Verrucalvaceae
Description: partial large subunit ribosomal RNA
Source: RNAcentral